AAGACCCAAAAAGUGGGACUCGGAUGCAUGGUGCAGAGUUGGGAUUAAAGACAUGUUGUUAGAUUUAACAAAAAGUGUUGGAAAUAGAUUAUAGCUUUCUGGAUUAUUGGACUUUUUGGAGCAUGUUUGGAACAAUGUCUGUCUUUUUUUUUCUCCUGGAGCUCCUUGGAAAUGAUUACCUGCACACCUGGAAGUCAUUCAACAUUAAAGUUCUGCUAACGAGUAAGCGAAAUGAAACAUCGCCCUUCAACACAUCAAACCUUAUCCGCCACGAUACAGGCCUGCAUCGCUAUCAGCCGACAAAGACGCCUGCUUCUGAGGAAUACAUCGUAAUAUACGACUGAACCUCCAAUUUAACCUCUCCUCGCACUCAUCAAUCGUUCCGACAGCUUCCGUCAACAUUCGUCUUUUCCUGUCGUCUAUUUUGAGUCUGGCUGAAUGAAGCAGUUUGACACAUGCUGAGUGACAACCGCACUCCAGGGCUCGGCUGCAAGCCCAAAGCUCCAACGAUGCUCCAUUACUGGCUUUGUUUGCGCCCAGAAUAGCUCCAAUGAUCUUUGACUUUUGUCGAUUAAACAGUCGGAUGCUUCCUGGGAUUGUUUCCUUAUCAACUUCCCGCUGGUUUCAACAAAGUGUGCUUAGUCUUUUUGCUGAUCUUGUUAGUUGAAGCUAAAGUCAGCGUGUGUUGUUAUUAGAACAAACUGUAAUUCUAAUUAGAGUUGCAAUUCCCGCAGGAAUUGCGUAUGA
This is a long non-coding RNA of Nerophis ophidion (straightnose pipefish), 747 nucleotides long. RefSeq lists it as uncharacterized. The transcript is spliced from 3 exons. The record is from RefSeq and is a predicted model, not a curated record. NCBI's taxonomy places the organism in Eukaryota, Metazoa, Chordata, Actinopteri, Syngnathiformes, Syngnathidae.